AGUGAACGCUGGCGGUAGGCCUAACACAUGCAAAUCGAACGGCAGCACAGUAAGAGCUUGCUCUUACGGGUGGCGAGUGGCGGACGGGUGAGGAAUACAUCGGAAUCUACUUUUUCGUGGGGGAUAACGUAGGGAAACUUACGCUAAUACCGCAUACGACCUACGGGUGAAAGCAGGGGAUCUUCGGACCUUGCGCGAUUGAAUGAGCCGAUGUCGGAUUAGCUAGUUGGCGGGGUAAAGGCCCACCAAGGCGACGAUCCGUAGCUGGUCUGAGAGGAUGAUCAGCCACACUGGAACUGGGACACGGUCCAGACUCCUACGGGAGGCAGCAGUGGGGAAUAUUGGACAAAGGGCGCAAGCCUGAUCCAGCCAUACCGCGUGGGUGAAGAAGGCCUUCGGGUUGUAAAGCCCUUUUGUUGGGAAAGAAAAGCAGCAGGUUAAUACCCCGCUGUUCUGACGGUACCCAAAGAAUAAGCACCGGCUAACUUCGUG
RNAcentral lists this ribosomal RNA (492 nucleotides) under uncultured bacterium. RNAcentral's name for it is "partial 16S ribosomal RNA". It matches the Rfam family "Bacterial small subunit ribosomal RNA", at positions 29 to 507 of the family's 1533-position model. The record is from RNAcentral.